Molecule: long non-coding RNA, 372 nt
Organism: Cryptotermes secundus
Lineage: Eukaryota; Metazoa; Arthropoda; Insecta; Blattodea; Kalotermitidae
Exons: 3
Source: RefSeq, a predicted model, not a curated record
AUAGUCCACACUCUGACAUCAUACUGCACUAUCAGCGUGCUCUCACUUCCCAUCGAGACCAGAGCACAUAUUGCCUUGGCUAUACAAAAAUAUUUCUAUUCUCCCUGCGUUAUACUACCGUACGUUGGAGAGCGAGACAUGAAAUAUGAUGUCGAGGCAGUGGCACUACAGACGCUUCUAUCUGCAAAUGGCGUCCCGACGGCGACUCUGCCCGUCAGUAUGACAAAUGAAUCUUCCCAAAAGGGGACGUGUUGCAAGAAGCAACCCCUCUACGUCUUCGUGACAAGUGGACCCGCAGUUCAGCGAUUCUUGAAACAGGCAUCAGUGGACGUGUUAUCGGGCGCCAGGUGGCUUCUGUUCCUGGGGCAGAAC